CAGCAGCCGCGGUAAUUCGGGGGGUGCAAGCGUUGUUCGGAUUUAUUGGGCGUAAAGCGCGUGUAGGCGGUUUGGUAAGUCUGAUGUGAAAGCCCUGGGCUCAACCCGGGAAGUGCAUUGGAUACUGUCAGACUUGAAUACGGGAGAGGGCAGUGGAAUUCCUAGUGUAGGAGUGAAAUCCGUAGAUAUUAGGAGGAACACCGGUGGCGAAGGCGGCUGCCUGGACCGAUAUUGACGCUGAGACGCGAAAGCGUGGGUAGCAAACAGGAUUAGAUACCCUGGUAGUCCACGCCGUAAACGAUGAGAACUAGGUGUUGCGGGUAUUGACCCCUGCAGUGCCGUAGCUAACGCAUUAAGUUCUCCGCCUGGGAAGUACGGUCGCAAGACUAAAACUCAAAGGAAUUGACGG
RNAcentral lists this ribosomal RNA (409 nucleotides) under uncultured bacterium. RNAcentral's name for it is "bacterial SSU rRNA". It matches the Rfam family "Bacterial small subunit ribosomal RNA", at positions 509 to 916 of the family's 1533-position model. The record is from RNAcentral.